GACGAACGCUGGCGGCGUGCUUAACACAUGCAAGUCGAACGGAAAGGCCUCUUUCGGGGGGUACUCGAGUGGCGAACGGGUGAGUAACACGUGAGUAACCUGCCCUUGACUUUGGGAUAACUUCAGGAAACUGGGGCUAAUACCGGAUAGGAGCUCCUGCUGCAUGGUGGGGGUUGGACAGUUUCGGCGGUUGGGGAUGGACUCGCGGCUUAUCAGCUUGUUGGUGGGGUAGUGGCUUACCAAGGCUUUGACGGGUAGCCGGCCUGAGAGGGUGACCGGCCACAUUGGGACUGAGAUACGGCCCAGACUCCUACGGGAGGCAGCAGUGGGGAAGAUUGCACAAUGGGUGGAAGCCUGAUGCAGCAACGCCGUGUGCGGGAUGACGGCCUUCGGGUUGUAAACCGCUUUCGCUCAUGACGAAGCUUUGUGUGACGGUAGUGGGUAAAGAAGCACCGGCUAACUACGUG
This 467-nucleotide ribosomal RNA is filed under the name uncultured bacterium. RNAcentral's name for it is "partial 16S ribosomal RNA". It matches the Rfam family "Bacterial small subunit ribosomal RNA", at positions 28 to 507 of the family's 1533-position model. The record is from RNAcentral.